Molecule: non-coding RNA, 25 nt
Filed under: Cricetulus griseus (Chinese hamster)
Lineage: Eukaryota; Metazoa; Chordata; Mammalia; Rodentia; Cricetidae
Source: RNAcentral
AAGGAUGAUGAAAAAGAGGCUGAGG